UAGGGAAUCUUCGGCAAUGGGGGCAACCCUGACCGAGCAACGCCGCGUGAGUGAAGAAGGUUUUCGGAUCGUAAAGCUCUGUUGUAAGAGAAGAACGAGUGUGAGAGUGGAAAGUUCACACUGUGACGGUAACUUACCAGAAAGGGACGGCUAACUACGUGCCAGCAGCCGCGGUAAUACGUAGGUCCCGAGCGUUAUCCGGAUUUAUUGGGCGUAAAGCGAGCGCAGGCGGUUAGAUAAGUCUGAAGUUAAAGGCUGUGGCUUAACCAUAGUACGCUUUGGAAACUGUUUAACUUGAGUGCAAGAGGGGAGAGUGGAAUUCCAUGUGUAGCGGUGAAAUGCGUAGAUAUAUGGAGGAACACCGGUGGCGAAAGCGGCUCUCUGGCUUGUAACUGACGCUGAGGCUCGAAAGCGUGGGGAGCAAACAGGAUUAGAUACCCUGGUAGUCCACGCCGUAAACGAUGAGUGCUAGGUGUUAGACCCUUUCCGGGGUUUAGUGCCGUAGCUAACGCAUUAAGCACUCCGCCUGGGGAGUACGACCGCAAGGUUG
RNAcentral lists this ribosomal RNA (550 nucleotides) under uncultured bacterium. Its description in RNAcentral is "bacterial SSU rRNA". It matches the Rfam family "Bacterial small subunit ribosomal RNA", at positions 355 to 896 of the family's 1533-position model. The record is from RNAcentral.